GUCCAGACUCCUACGGGAGGCAGCAGUGAGGAAUAUUGGUCAAUGGGCGGGAGCCUGAACCAGCCAAGUCGCGUGAGGGAAGACGGUCCUAUGGAUUGUAAACCUCUUUAGGCGGGGAGCAAUGCCGGGCACGUGUGCCCGGAGGGAGAGUACCCGCAGAAUAAGCAUCGGCUAACUCCGUGCCAGCAGCCGCGGUAAUACGUAGGGAGCAAGCGUUAUCCGGAUUUAUUGGGUGUAAAGGGUGCGUAGACGGGAAGGCAAGUUGGUUGUGAAAUCCCUCGGCUUAACUGAGGAACUGCAACCAAAACUAUCUUUCUUGAGUGCUGGAGAGGAAAGUGGAAUUCCUAGUGUAGCGGUGAAAUGCGUAGAUAUUAGGAGGAACACCAGUGGCGAAGGCGACUUUCUGGACAGUAACUGACGUUGAGGCACGAAAGUGUGGGGAGCAAACAGGAUUAGAUACCCUUGUA
Molecule: ribosomal RNA, 467 nt
Filed under: uncultured bacterium
Lineage: Bacteria
Description: partial 16S ribosomal RNA
Rfam family: Bacterial small subunit ribosomal RNA
Source: RNAcentral